GGGAUAUUGCACAAUGGAGGAAACUCUGAUGCAGCAACGCCGCGUGAGGGAAGAAGGUCUUCGGAUUGUAAACCUUAGUAGUCAGGGACGAAAGAAAUGACGGUACCUGAAGAGUAAGCUCCGGCUAACUACGUGCCAGCAGCCGCGGUAAUACGUAGGGAGCGAGCGUUGUCCGGAUUUACUGGGUGUAAGGGUGCGUAGGCGGGACUGCAAGUCAGACGUGAAAUACCGGGGCUUAACCUCGGGGCUGCGUUUGAAACUGCGGUUCUUGAGUGAAGUAGAGGCAGGCGGAAUUCCUAGUGUAGCGGUGAAAUGCGUAGAUAUUAGGAGGAACACCAGUGGCGAAGGCGGCCUGCUGGGCUUUAACUGACGCUGAAGCACGAAAGCAUGGGGAGCAAACA
RNAcentral lists this ribosomal RNA (401 nucleotides) under uncultured bacterium. RNAcentral's name for it is "bacterial SSU rRNA". It matches the Rfam family "Bacterial small subunit ribosomal RNA", at positions 358 to 774 of the family's 1533-position model. The record is from RNAcentral.